GAGUUUGAUCGUGGCUCAGGAUGAACGCUGGCGGCGUGCCUAACACAUGCAAGUCGAACGGGUGUACGGGAAGGAAGGCUUCGGCCGGAAAACCUGUGCAUGAGUGGCGGACGGGUGAGUAACGCGUGGGCAACCUGGCCUGUACAGGGGAUAACACUUAGAAAUAGGUGCUAAUACCGCAUAACGGGGGAAGCCGCAUGGCUUUUCCCUGAAAACUCCGGUGGUACAGGAUGGGCCCGCGUCUGAUUAGCCAGUUGGCAGGGUAACGGCCUACCAAAGCGACGAUCAGUAGCCGGCCUGAGAGGGCGGACGGCCACACUGGGACUGAGACACGGCCCAGACUCCUACGGGAGGCAGCAGUGGGGGAUAUUGCACAAUGGGGGGAACCCUGAUGCAGCGACGCCGCGUGGGUGAAGAAGCGCCUCGGCGCGUAAAGCCCUGUCAGCAGGGAAGAAAAUGACGGUACCUGAAGAAGAAGCCCCGGCUAACUACGUGCCAGCAGCCGCCGCCGUAAC
Molecule: ribosomal RNA, 515 nt
Filed under: uncultured microorganism
Description: bacterial SSU rRNA
Rfam family: Bacterial small subunit ribosomal RNA
Source: RNAcentral